CCAUUACACUUCCAAUCUCUAAAUGAAGGUGAUCAUACUUGAUGUUGCCAUACCAUCCACUCAGUUCCCAAGCACAAUUCAAAGGAAAGAGAAGGAAGUGACAGCUAUCUGGAUCCUUCUGUGUCCCUCAAUUAUUUUCAUGAAGAAGAAAUGUAAAUCCUGCUGAUUGCCAUAUGAUAUAAAUCAAUAGGCUGUUUUCUUUACAUUAGGUCAAUGCAACCGUUCAGUGGAAAUUAUUAACUCUCAUCAAUUAUCUUUUCCUCAGUGAGAAAACUGACAAAUACCUGCUAUAGAGAGUAGCUGCUCAAAAGGGACUGAAAGCUCCUCCAAAGAAAUGUCAGCUAUUUCUCCUGGCACCUUCUGACCUACUCCUACUGGGAAUGGAUAACUAUAAUUGGUGACCAGCUGUAAUCUUGGGAUCACUCUUCACUAUCAUCUUGGUGAUUUCCUGGGUCUCUACGAUUGAGAAGACAGAAGCUCCCCUUCUGGUUUUCAGAGAAGAGCUUGUUUUCUGCUCUGGUAUUAUUACUUUCUUGUUAUUUCUUGUUUUUUUUAAAAUUUUAUUUAUUUUUUUUAUACAGCAGGUUCUUAUUGGUUAUCCAUUUUAUACAUAUUAGAGUAUAUAUGUCAAUCACAAUCUCCCAAUUCAUCACACCACCACUCCACCCCCCCGCAAUGCUUUCGCCCCCCUGGCAUCCAUACAUUUGUUCUCUACAUCUGUGUUUCAAUUUCUGCCCUGCAAACAGGUUCAUCUGUACCAUUUUUCUAGGAUCCACAUAUAUGCGUUAAUAUACGAUAUUUGUUUUUCUCUUUCUAACUUAUUCUACUCUGUAUGACAGUUUUUAGAUUCAUCCACAUCCCUAAAAGAUGACCCAAUUUCGUUCCUUUUUAUGGCUGAGUAAUAUUCCAUUGUGCAUAUGUACCACAUCUUCUUUAUCCAUUCGUCUAUCGAUGGACACUUAGGUUGCUUCCAUGACCUGGCCAUUGUAAAUACUGCUGCAAAGAACACUGGGGUGCAUGUGUCUUUUUGAAUUAUGAUUUUCUCUGGGUACAUGCCCAGUAGUGGGAUUGCUGGGUCAUAUGGUAAUUCUAUUUUUAGUUUUUCUAAGGAACCUCCAUAGUGGCUGUAACAAUUUACAUUCCCACCAACAGUGCAAGAGGGUUCCCUUUUCUCCACACCCUCUCCAGCAUUUGUUGUUUGUAGAUUUUCUGAUGAUGCCCAUUCUAACUGGUGUGCGGUGAUACCUCAUUGUACAUUUGAUUUGCAAUUCUCUAAUAAUUAGUGAUGUUAAGCAGCUUUUCAUGUGUUUGUUGGCCAUCUGUAUGUCUUCUUUGGAGAAAUGUCUACUUAGGUCUUCUGCCCAUUUUUGGAUUGGGUUGUUUGUUUCUUUAAUAUUGAGUUGCAUGAGCUGUUUAUAUAUUUUGGAGAUUAAUUCGUUGUCUGUUCAUUCAUUUGCAAAUAUCUUCUCCCAUUCUGAGGGUUGUCUUUUCGUCUUGUUUGUAGUUUCCUUUACUUUGCAAAAGCUUUUAACUUUCAUUAGGUCCCAUUUGUUUAUUUUUGCUUUUAUUUCCAUUACUCUAGGAGGUGGAUCAAAAAAGAUCUUGCUGUGAUUUAUGUCAAAGAGUGUUCUUCCUAUGUUUUCCAUUAGGAGUUUUAUAGUGUCCGGUCUUACAUUUAGGUCUCUAAUCCAUUUUGAGUUUAUUUUUGUAUAUGGUGUUAGGGAGUGUUCUAAUUUCAUUCUUUUACAUGUAGCUGUCCAGUUUUCCCAGCACCACUUAUUGAAGAGACUGUCUUUUCUCAAUUGUAUAUUCUUGCUUCCUCUGUGAUAGAUUAGUUGACCAUAGGUGAGUGGGUUUAUCUCUGGGCUUUCUAUCCUGUUCCACUGAUCUAUGUUUCUGUUUUUGUGCCAGUAAGAUAUUGUCUUGAUUACUGUAGCUUUGUAGUAUAGUCUGAAGUCAGGGAGCCUGAUUCCUCCAGCUCCAUUUUUUUCCCUCAAGACUGCUUUGGCUAUUCGGGGUCUUUUGUGUCUCCAUACAAAUUUUAAGAUUUUUUGUUCUAGUCCUGUAAAAAAUGUCAUUGGUAAUUUGAUAGGGAUUGCAAUGAAUCUGUAGAUUGCUUUGGGUAGUAUAGUCAUUUUCACAAUGUUGAUUCUUCCAAUCCAAAAACAUGAUAUAUCUCUCCAUCUGUUUGUAUCAUCUUUAAUUUCUUUCAUCAGUGUCUUACAGUUUUCUGCAUACAGGUCUUUG
This is a long non-coding RNA of Orcinus orca (killer whale), 2247 nucleotides long. RefSeq lists it as uncharacterized. The transcript is spliced from 3 exons. Lineage: Eukaryota; Metazoa; Chordata; Mammalia; Artiodactyla; Delphinidae. The record is from RefSeq and is a predicted model, not a curated record.